AGAGCGAACGCUGGCGGCAGGCCUAACACAUGCAAGUCGAGCGCCCGUAGCAAUACGGGAGCGGCAGACGGGAUAGUAACACGUGGGAACGCGCCCUUCGGUUCGGAAUAACUCAGGGAAACUUGAGCUAAUACCGGAUACGCCCUUACGGGGAAAGAUUUAUUGCCGAAGGAACGGCCCGCGUCCGAUUAGCUAGUUGGUGAGGUAAUGGCUCACCAAGGCGACGAUCGGUAGCUGGUCUGAGAGGAUGACCAGCAUCACUGGGACUGAGACACGGCCCAGACUCCUACGGGAGGCAGCAGUGGGGAAUAUUGGACAAUGGGCGCAAGCCUGAUCCAGCCAUGCCGCGUGGAUGAUGAAGGCCUUAGGGUUGUAAAGUCCUUUUAACGGGGAAGAUAAUGACGGUACCCGUAGAAUAAGCCCCGGCUAACUCGUGCCAGCAGCCGC
RNAcentral lists this ribosomal RNA (447 nucleotides) under uncultured bacterium. RNAcentral's name for it is "SSU rRNA". It matches the Rfam family "Bacterial small subunit ribosomal RNA", at positions 26 to 518 of the family's 1533-position model. The record is from RNAcentral.